ACCUGAGUGGCUCAGCCAGUUAAGCAUCUGGCUUUGGCUCAGGUCAUGAUCUCAUGGUUUGUGGGUUCGAGUCCCACAUCGGGUC
RNAcentral lists this transfer RNA (85 nucleotides) under Felis catus (domestic cat). It matches the Rfam family "tRNA". Rfam says of the family: Transfer RNA (tRNA) molecules are approximately 80 nucleotides in length. Their secondary structure includes four short double-helical elements and three loops (D, anti-codon, and T loops). Further hydrogen bonds mediate the characteristic L-shaped molecular structure. tRNAs have two regions of fundamental functional importance: the anti-codon, which is responsible for specific mRNA codon recognition, and the 3' end, to which the tRNAs corresponding amino acid is attached (by aminoacyl-tRNA synthetases). tRNAs cope with the degeneracy of the genetic code in two manners: having more than one tRNA (with a specific anti-codon) for a particular amino acid; and 'wobble' base-pairing, i.e. permitting non-standard base-pairing at the 3rd anti-codon position. Lineage: Eukaryota; Metazoa; Chordata; Mammalia; Carnivora; Felidae. The record is from Rfam by way of RNAcentral. RNAcentral also lists the same sequence under 3 other names.